RNAcentral lists this ribosomal RNA (379 nucleotides) under Burkholderia sp. RNAcentral describes it as "bacterial SSU rRNA". It matches the Rfam family "Bacterial small subunit ribosomal RNA", at positions 384 to 756 of the family's 1533-position model. The record is from RNAcentral. Lineage: Bacteria; Pseudomonadati; Pseudomonadota; Betaproteobacteria; Burkholderiales; Burkholderiaceae.
UGAUCCAGCAUGCCGCGUGUGUGAAGAAGGCCUUCGGGUUGUAAAGCACUUUUGUCCGGAAAGAAAUCCUUGGUUCUAAUACAGCCGGGGGAUGACGGUACCGGAAGAAUAAGCACCGGCUAACUACGUGCCAGCAGCCGCGGUAAUACGUAGGGUGCGAGCGUUAAUCGGAAUUACUGGGCGUAAAGCGUGCGCAGGCGGUUUGCUAAGACCGAUGUGAAAUCCCCGGGCUCAACCUGGGAACUGCAUUGGUGACUGGCAGGCUAGAGUAUGGCAGAGGGGGGUAGAAUUCCACGUGUAGCAGUGAAAUGCGUAGAGAUGUGGAGGAAUACCGAUGGCGAAGGCAGCCCCCUGGGCCAAUACUGACGCUCAUGCACGA